GCCAGUUUUCUCCAUCUCCAAAUAUUACCUGUCUUGAGCCAGACUGAACGGCACACACUUCAGCAGGGCCGGCGGCGUUCCUCCGCAAGAAUGCUGAGCUGGAGGGGAGGACAAAUCUUUGGGAAAGGGAGCAGAUGGAUCCCAGGUGACGGAGGCAUGCCCGCUUCCUCCGUGUGGUUCACAGUGUGUUGGGAGCACCGAUGACCGUCUUCCACACGAGGCUUUCCCUGAACCCUAAGGCCUGACCCCCCAACAAGCCUCCUGCCCGCCUCUUGUGCACCUGCAGCUGCUGCUUCCCAGGGGACCUGACUGGCACAGGGUCACAGAUGGGAAUGGACUUGGAAGUGGUAACGGACCACUGACGUUCCAGCCCCACAUGCACCUCAGAUCUAAGAGCCAGGGAGAAGAGUGAGACCCUCUGUCCAGCUGCUGUUGCUCAGAAGUCACUGCCACGAGCCUGGUGCGGGGAGAGCCCGGUGCAAGCCUGGCUUUUGCCCCAGCAAGCCGUUCCUCUGUCCUGGGACGCUUGGUCAGGGUCCCAGGCCCGAGACCACCCUGGCAGGAUGAAGGGGUGCCUGCUCCUCUAUUGCAGCCGUGGAUGGUUCUGGUGAGGGUGGGGCUUCCCUCAGCUACACCCACCUCUGCGCAUGCUUCUGCUCACCUGGACUCCAUCGGAGGAGGACCAGGACACGAGGUUAACUGCAUCCACGUGGAAGGGCACCAGGUGCAGAGAGCCGGGUGUGUG
Long non-coding RNA from Hipposideros armiger (great roundleaf bat), 745 nucleotides. RefSeq lists it as uncharacterized. The transcript is spliced from 4 exons. NCBI's taxonomy places the organism in Eukaryota, Metazoa, Chordata, Mammalia, Chiroptera, Hipposideridae. The record is from RefSeq and is a predicted model, not a curated record.